This 511-nucleotide ribosomal RNA is filed under the name Rossellomorea aquimaris. Its description in RNAcentral is "bacterial SSU rRNA". It matches the Rfam family "Bacterial small subunit ribosomal RNA", at positions 945 to 1455 of the family's 1533-position model. The record is from RNAcentral. Lineage: Bacteria; Bacillati; Bacillota; Bacilli; Caryophanales; Bacillaceae.
UUUAAUUCGAAGCAACGCGAAGAACCUUACCAGGUCUUGACAUCCUCUGACAACCCUAGAGAUAGGGCUUUCCCCUUCGGGGGACAGAGUGACAGGUGGUGCAUGGUUGUCGUCAGCUCGUGUCGUGAGAUGUUGGGUUAAGUCCCGCAACGAGCGCAACCCUUGAUCUUAGUUGCCAGCAUUCAGUUGGGCACUCUAAGAUGACUGCCGGUGACAAACCGGAGGAAGGUGGGGAUGACGUCAAAUCAUCAUGCCCCUUAUGACCUGGGCUACACACGUGCUACAAUGGACGGUACAAAGGGCAGCGAGACCGCGAGGUUUAGCCAAUCCCAUAAAACCGUUCUCAGUUCGGAUUGCAGGCUGCAACUCGCCUGCAUGAAGCUGGAAUCGCUAGUAAUCGCGGAUCAGCAUGCCGCGGUGAAUACGUUCCCGGGCCUUGUACACACCGCCCGUCACACCACGAGAGUUUGUAACACCCGAAGUCGGUGAGGUAACCUUUUGGAGCCAGCCC